RNAcentral lists this unclassified non-coding RNA (277 nucleotides) under Hevea brasiliensis (rubber tree). The record is from RNAcentral. Lineage: Eukaryota; Viridiplantae; Streptophyta; Magnoliopsida; Malpighiales; Euphorbiaceae.
GUUGAGGCCGCGGAUAAUACUCGAAUUCAGUAGGGUCACCAUCCACUGAAACACUCACAAUCCCAAGAUUCUCCGCGUGCAACCCAACUAUGCCAAUAUCAGGAACCGCAAUUUCCAACUCGGUGAACCCAUAAACGCGACGUUUGUCAAUGUCGAUGGAAAGGCAAAGCUUCUGGUGACGAACUACAGCUCCGGAGUUGUCAGGUGGCUUCGCGUCGUCGGUGUUCUUGGGCUUGCGAGGCUUGGCCAUAGCAAGCACAUAGCCUGAGCGGGGGAG